This is a long non-coding RNA of Esox lucius (northern pike), 2208 nucleotides long. Lineage: Eukaryota; Metazoa; Chordata; Actinopteri; Esociformes; Esocidae. The record is from Ensembl.
GUAGAAAUAUUCUUAUUCUAUAGUACAUUAUUAUCAUAUUGUUUAUGUACAUAUUAGAUUAUAGGGUAUGCAUUAUAAGUAUAUAUAUAUAUACACAUAUACACACACAUAUAUAGUCUUAGAGAAUCAUGUUUAUUAAGUCACAAGAUUUUUAACAGUGCGCAUGUAUUGGAAUUGAAUACUUGCAUGGCCUGAUUGCACUGAAGGUUUUGCAUAGCGCUUGCAUGUGCAAUAUUGACAGACUCCUAAUUGGUUGAAACAUACAACGUAGUAGGCACAGACAGACUAAAAAUGUACAACUGUACUGAUUGAUGCAGACGUUCAAACAUGCUCCUACAUGCACAGACGCCUUUAAAUGUAAAAUCUACCCAAGCUGGUGGGAGUAAUUGCUGUCCUGGAGUGAGGAAUUCCUGCAAGUUUUAGAAAAUACGAGUGACAGUAAAUGAUCCCAUUCUUUUAACGUCUCUCCUCUCGGAAUCCUUGUUUCAAGUACAUGGAUACAUGGAUUACUGUACAUCACAUCUCACAACUGCUUCAUUAUCCAUAAAAUGGGAGGUAUAGGUAGUCAACCCCCUGUGUAGGACAUAUCCAUCAGCCUGAAAGGUAAGCAUCCCCUAUACCUUUCUGAUGACAACCUGUGGCUAGUAGACACAUGCAUCUGCAAGGCCCAUAAAUCAAUUAACAAUUGAGUUAACCCAUAAAGCAGAUGAUAUGCUAUAUGUUUUCUUCGAUCUCCCCAGGGAGAGAAAGAAGCAAAGCCAGAGAGGCAUUCCUGCGUUUGACAGAUGAGUCCUUGGCAGCCUAAUUUUUAAUGCUCUGCCCUCUGUGCCGAGUAGUUGAGCCAGGAGGAAUAGGGGCCCUCAUGAGCCACAGGUGUGUUGCCUCUGGGGAGGCCCUUUAGUCCUAGCCCACUAAGAGGGGAGGGAGUAGUUAGCAGGGUAGAGGUUGGGAUAUGGAGGGUACUAGAUAAAAAAGAAAAAGGCAGUUUGAGACAACAAGGCAACAAAUGACAAGUCGUGUUCCACUUUUUUCAACCUCUGCUUUAUGGAUUUAACGCGAGCGGAAACUCCCUUCAACUAAUGCCAACACCCAUUCAAUUAUUUAAAAUCCAUGACAGGGAGUGUGCAAAUGUUUACUUUUGGAAGAGGCUGAAGAAUCGGCACAAAUCAAGACUGAUGUUUUGAGGAAGGCCAAAGUCUUUUGAGCGUGGCAUUUUGUUCUUUCACAUGCUGCACUCUCAAACUAUGUAUCAAAUCUAUACAUCAUCUGUCUGUAUAUUUCUAUUUAUUUCUCAAUCUAUUUCAGGACCUCUUUCUCUUGUUUCUCUCACACAACUUAUGGUUAACAUCACUAUCUCCUGAUUAGGCAAUUUAAACUUUAGGCACGUCUAACAUGAUGAGAUUUAGAGCUAAAUAUGAUGAAAAGUUUAAUAAUAAUAUAUAGGAUUUAAAGUACCUGUAUAACAGUAGAAAACAUCAAGAAACAAUAAAAAUAAGAUAAUAAAACUAUGUAGCUUAGCUAAAGCUGACUGAAGACCAAGUAAUGCUUAGGGAAAUCCAGACCAUGGCAGUGACACUGAAAGCCUUGUCCCUCGAGGUACAGGGCCAGAGUAUAAGUCUGAAACAUUUACACAUUAUAUAUGAAAUUAGAUCCCUCUGGUCUGUAACACAGUAUGGCAUGUGAUUCUCCACAUGCAAAGGAUAUUUCAUCUGAUGGAUAUGAGUACUGAAAAUGUGAGUGGUGUUCAGGUUUUUCUAGCUGUUUUUUGUUUUUGUUAACCUGACUUAAACAUUAAAAUAUAUCAGACAAAAUCAGUCACUUUCUGUGGUUUUUAAUGCGUUUCAUAGUGCUUAUCAUUGCAUUGUGUUAACUCACUGCACCUUUCACCAACAUGUACAGCAACCUCACCAACCUAGAUUGAUUUACAGAAUUAUUUUUCACAUCUGAAAACCUGUCACAGUGGGGAUGAAUAUAACAGGUACACUGGGUACUAGAUUUCUUACAAUAAUAUUUUGUUGUAUAGAUUAUACCUUAUUUAGCCUCCCAAUUUCACACAGUAAUUCCAAAAGCCAAAGAAGUUCUUUCUCCAUGUCAGAAAAUUCAUCGCAAUGUUUACUGUAUGUUUUGUUCCGAGACAUUGUACUUGUUAUUGAUAUGUUUGAGUUUAGUAUCACAAUACUUAAAUAAAGAUUUUUAAAACUGACAGAG